Molecule: ribosomal RNA, 446 nt
Filed under: Pseudogastrotheus undarae
Lineage: Eukaryota; Metazoa; Arthropoda; Insecta; Zygentoma; Nicoletiidae
Description: partial 28S ribosomal RNA
Rfam family: Eukaryotic large subunit ribosomal RNA
Source: RNAcentral
CUUGACUCUAGUCUGGAAUUGUGGGGAGACGCGAGAGGUGUAGCAUAAGUGGGAGGCAGUUCCCCUCGUGGGAGUCUGCCGCCGGUGAAAUACCACUACUCUCGUGGUUUCCCCACUCAGUCGGUGAGACGGUAUCCGCCCGCCUUGUACAAGGCGUGGCGCGGUUCUGGCAUUGAGCCGGUGGACCCUUAACCGGGUCCAACCGGUUUGGCCGAUCCGAUGACAGUUCCAGGUAGGGAGUUUGACUGGGGCGGUACAUCCAUCAAACGAUAACGUGGGUGUCCUAAGGUCAGCUCGGCGAGGACAGAAACCUCGCGUAGAGCAAAAGGGCAAAAGCUGGCUUGAUCCUGGGACCCAGUACCUCCCGGGACUGCGAAAGCAGGGCCUAUCGAUCCUUUUGGCGCGGAGAGUUUCCGGCAAGAGGUGUCAGAAAAGUACCACAGGGG